This 253-nucleotide ribosomal RNA is filed under the name uncultured bacterium. RNAcentral's name for it is "partial 16S ribosomal RNA". It matches the Rfam family "Bacterial small subunit ribosomal RNA", at positions 524 to 776 of the family's 1533-position model. The record is from RNAcentral.
UACGUAGGGUGCAAGCGUUGUCCGGAAUUAUUGGGCGUAAAGAGCUCGUAGGUGGCUUGUCACGUCUGCUGUGAAAACUCGGGGCUCAACCCCGAGCCUGCAGUGGAUACGGGCUAGCUAGAGUGCGGUAGGGGAGACUGGAAUUCCUGGUGUAGCGGUGAAAUGCGCAGAUAUCAGGAGGAACACCGGUGGCGAAGGCGGGUCUCUGGACUGAUACUGACACUGAGGAGCGAAAGCGUGGGGAGCGAACAGG